UACGUAGGAGGCAAGCGUUGUCCGGAAUUACUGGGCGUAAAGCGCGUGUAGGUGGUGGGACAAGUCUGCUGUGAAAGCGCCUGGCUUAACCGGGCGAGGUCGGCGGAAACUGUCCGACUCGAGGACGGUAGAGGGGGGUGGAAUUCCCGGUGUAGUGGUGAAAUGCGUAGAUAUCUGGAGGAACACCGGUGGCGAAGGCGGCAUCCUGGACCGGCAUUGACGCUGAGGCGCGAAAGCGUGGGGAGCGAACAGG
Molecule: ribosomal RNA, 253 nt
Filed under: uncultured bacterium
Lineage: Bacteria
Description: partial 16S ribosomal RNA
Rfam family: Bacterial small subunit ribosomal RNA
Source: RNAcentral